RNA transcript from Poecile atricapillus (Black-capped chickadee), 7015 nucleotides. RefSeq lists it as uncharacterized. The transcript has 4 exons. The record is from RefSeq and is a predicted model, not a curated record. NCBI's taxonomy places the organism in Eukaryota, Metazoa, Chordata, Aves, Passeriformes, Paridae.
UUCAAACUGUGCCCCGUGGCCAAUGGCAGCCGUCCCCUGGCGCUGGCCAAUCACAGCGCGUUGCUGCCCAUAAAUAGCGGUCCCGUGGCCGCUGCCCGCGCAGUGUUCUACUACUCCGCGGCCAGGGCUCUUCUGCGGAACAUGGCGCGCACGAAGCAGACAGCGCGUAAGUCGACGGGCGGGAAGGCGCCCCGCAAGCAGCUGGCCACCAAGGCUGCCCGCAAGAGCGCGCCGGCCACGGGCGGUGUCAAGAAGCCGCACCGCUACCGGCCCGGCACGGUGGCGCUGCGCGAGAUCCGGCGCUACCAGAAGUCGACGGAGCUGCUGAUCCGCAAGCUGCCCUUCCAGCGCCUGGUGCGCGAGAUCGCGCAGGACUUCAAGACGGACCUGCGCUUCCAGAGCUCGGCCGUCAUGGCGCUGCAGGAGGCCAGCGAGGCCUACCUGGUGGGGCUCUUCGAGGACACCAACCUGUGCGCCAUCCACGCCAAGCGCGUCACCAUCAUGCCCAAGGACAUCCAGCUGGCCCGCCGCAUCCGCGGCGAGCGCGCAUAAGCUGUUGGCUAGCGGAAAUUUGAGACCAUCGAAAACCCAAAGGCUCUUUUAAGAGCCACCACAACGUCACUAAAGGGCUGUAAAUUCCUUAAUAGCGGUAGGAAGUUUUUUGGGUGGCCUUGCAGUCAAGAUCUACCGUGUUAAUUUUUUUGCUUUAUUCUGCAACGUUGUAUUUCCCCUCGCUCUUGUUUUUGGGAGGGCGCGUGGAAUUUACUUUGUUCCUGAAGGCGCAAAAACUCCUUUCCUGACUUCCCUGGAAGCACUGGCGGUAGUUUUUCUCAGUGUUUUAUCAAUCCUGGUCGUGAGUGAUGUCCUGCGGACAUUUUCAGCCCCUCUCAAGCAUUACUAUUUAUAUCCGAGAUGCAUGUACUUUUGAAGUUGGAGGGGAUGGUGUUUGUAUGGAAUGUAAGGUGGAGGUAAGGAAGUUUUCUGAUUCUGAGUCCCUUUUCCAAGUACUCUGCUCCUUGCUGAUGUCUUGUCUAGGACCACACGUGUGGCAUCUUUAAUUUUUAGAGAUUUUGGCUUGCAUAAAUUUUCUGUCUUUACUGAGGCUCUCAAAAAGAUUUGUUAAAGAUUUAUUUUUAAUAAGAAUUUGUGCUUGUUAAAGCACAGACCAAGUGCUUUCCAAUAAGUAUCUCUGCUUUAAAACGUGGCGUGUCCAGAAUAAUUUUUAAAUGGAGGCUCUUCCCUAUUCAUUGUGUUCUGAUUUUUGUGAACCUACCUGGAAAACGGAUUUCUCUCUGACUGUGAAUUCAGUCACACACACGCCCCUUUGCUCUCCUAGGAAAUAGAUCUGUUGUUGCCUGAGAAAUGUACUUUUCUAAAAUUAUUUCUGACUUUUUGGCACCUUUAUAUCCAUUAAUACUGCAGGUAGUUUUAUGUAAUUUAAGGAGCCUGCUGUUCCAUUAAAUUAUUGCAAGUUGUGUCCCUUUGGCUUUUCGAUGCUACAAACCUGUAAAAUCUUAAAGCUGUGGCUUUAAGAAGCGGUUGGAUUGAGUUAGACACAACCUUCAUUUAAACAAGGAAAUAAAGAGCCACUGAGAAAUGCCUAGAGGAAAUAUUUCUCCUGGAAAGCCUAAGAUUGUAAGACUCUUAAUUUACUCUUAAUUGCUGAUAAGCUUCAUUUUAGGAAUAUUUCUUUCUCUGUGUCAGGAACUUGGACUCUGCAGCAAAAUCUGACCAAUCCAGUGCCUCGACACCAUUUUCUUUCCUCUGUUUUUCUCACUUUCAGCCAUUUUCUGUUUCUGAACCUCGGAGGGUUAAAAGAGGGGGGAAGGAAUCGGGAGUAGUGCUUUGGGAAUUAGGAAGUCUCUGCUGUGAUUUUUUCAUUCCCCAGAUUUGUUCAUUUAUGUAGGAUUUGCAUUUUUACAAACAGAUUUUUUAAUUCCCGUAGCUUACCACCAGGAUUGCAGAAAUGAAUUUUACUGAAAGCUAGCUCAUUUCAUUUUACUGAGAUGGCCAAAGAUAUGUUUACCAGGACAUGUUUGGAUCUGCUUAUAAUAAAAAAAUUAAAAAUCAAGUAAAAUAACUUAUCAAUAGUUUAUUUAGAAGUUACGUGAUAUCUAGUAUCUUAAAUAAGCUAUUGGUCAGAGUACUUGAUUUCAGCAAUAUCAGAAAUUUUUUUUUCAUGUUCAAGAAACAAAUUAUUUUUGAGCAGUGAGACAGGGAAACAGGUUUUAUUUGCCUUAAUCUCUUGUCAUUUUCCUCCAGUCUUUUGAAGACCCCAUAAUGUUUUACUAAUUUAAGUAUUAUUUGGAUUCAGUCAGAGAGUUUUACAUGCUUGAAUUUUAAUGAAACCCUAACACUUCAUCUGCUGAAAAAGAAAGAUGUGCAAUGCUUUUUAUUUUUUCAGGGCUUAUAUAAACUUGAGUCUGAAGUAGUUUUGGGGUGUAAUACACAGGAAACAGGUGGCAUGUAGGCACAGGUGACUAAGUGCAAGAUUCCCUAAAUCUGAGUGAGAAUAAAAGUGGAGGUUCCUCAGGUUCCAGCAAGGUUCAGCUGCAUUUCUUUGCUUUUUGCAGGGGAGUCUGAGAUAAAAGAAUGCUGCCACAUCAAAGCUGGAUGUGAGCAAGACCUCUGUGCUGACCAGCUGAGGAUUGCCUUGAGAGUUGCUAUUGGUAAUCAAGAUGCUUUUGCAGUUCUCAGGUUACAGCUUGAGCUGGGUGGAUCUGCAGAGUGAGCACUACACCAAAAAUUAACCUUCAAUCCCAUUCAGGCUACCCAGCACUCAACUCCCAGGUUCAUCAGUAGCUUCUGGUCAGUUGUCUCUUUCUUUGGUUUUGUGGGGUUUUUGGGAUUUUUUUCAUCUGACAUUACCUCAAUUCUUGGAGUUGUUUCCUUGGUCCUUCCUUACCUUUUUCAUUCUGCUUUGGGCUAGUUGAACAUUAGCAACAUUAGCUUUUAAAAAAAACCUUUUAUUUUGGUCAGCUCUUGUGGCCUAAUGCUGUAAGCACUCCAGCCAUGAAUGCUAAACUACUUAAUAUAUCAUGAGAAUAUGGAGAAAACAGUUAAUGAAAAUGUCCUGUAUAAUACUGUGGAGUAACACAGGAUGGAAAGCUCUGUUGUCAGUUAAAUUGUUAUGGCAAUACCAGUUUUUAGUAAUAAAAACAACAAACUAAAGGAACAUUGAUAUAUAAAAACAAUGCAAACUGAGCUUGAAUUAAACCAGUUUGCACAUUAAAAAUGCAAGCCCAUCUGGCUGGGGGCCUCAGCCCCCAGUCUGUGAUGACUGAUAGGGUUCAGCAAAACAAAUCCUGCAGCUCCAGGGACAUUGGGGUGGUAAAAGCCAUGCCCCAACCUUGCUCACUCCACACUGGUUUCGUCUGUGCCACCUAUGGUGCCCUGCAUCACAGCCUAAAGAUGCUUUUAAGUUUGGCUCCAGAGACACUGGUGCCACCAAAGACCUGCUGAGGUGAGCGUGGCACUGCCCCAAUGUUGCUGUGAGAGUACACGUGACACAAAGCAGAUCUGUCAGAAACUUCAUCCAAGCCAUUAUUGUGCCCAUACGCAGCAUUUUUAUACCCUUCUGACCCCAUGGUGCACCCCAUUUAAUUUGCCAUCACCACACCACCCCUCAAGUCCAUUGGUGGCAGCGCUGUUUUGAGAAAGUAUCCCCAAAAAUCCAAAAUACAGAUAGAUUUUGUUUUUCCAUGGUGUUUUUCUCAGCACAGAUGUUCCUUGUUUUCCUCUACCUUUAUCUUCUUUUUCUUCUUCUCACAGACACACAAGAAUCCUGCUGGCUUCUUCUUUCUGUUAACUCUCUCAUCCGCCCCUCAUCCUGCUGUGGGCUCUCUCCACACCCCAACACUUCUUCCUCCUCACCUUUCUCAUCUGGGUCACCUGUGAUGCUUUCACAAGUUUACAUGUAUUGACAAUGUUCAGUUCCAUAUCUGUUUCCCAGUCCUUCAUGUUCUUUUCCCUUAAGCAUUGUGAGGUUUUGCUACUCCAUUAACGUGAAGAUGCUUUUUUAAUGGGUUUGAUCACUUUGUCUUUACACAUCAGCCAAGUCUGUACUCUGUGGUGCUGUCCUCUGUUCUCAUGUGGAGGAUAAUGUAGUUGAGAUAUUAAUAUACCCAAUUAUAUAUCGUCUGUGUCCUUAUUGCUUCUCUCUCCACAUUUUAUUCUUGCUCAUCACAAUCUGUUUCUGCAGAUCUUCCAUUUCACUGCAUGCUAUCCCCAUGCCAUGAAUACUUGAUGUAUUUAUGAGUAUCCUCUUUCUCUCUGCCCAUGGAUUUUUAUUUUUAUGCUAUUCCAAGCACAGCACUUAUCCAUCAAGAUAGAUCUUUAAUGCUAUACAAAACUUUGGCCUGUAAGAGCUUCAACUUGUGAUGCCAUCAAUAGGAAAGUAAUUGAUCCAGAGGGCACAUGAUAUACUUUCCAGUAAGUGUUCCAUAUGAUCCCAUUGAUUUGAGGGCAGUAUGCCAAUGUUGUAAUGAAAACAAGGACCUAGAGCCUAAGGCAUGAUGUAAGAAGCAUGACAAAAAAAACCAAACAAAACCAAACACAAAAAACCAAAAACAAAUAAACAAAACAAACAAACAAGAAGUGUUUCUGAGACAUAGCUUUUCAGGAACAGCCAAAAGUCAAACAUAAAUCUUUGUGUGUUUUAGAUGUCAAUUCAGUGUGCUGAGGUCUGAAUGUUUCCUGAGUUAAUUCAGACUACUGCUAAUAUAUGAAAAACAGGAAAAAGGAAUGUUUUUGGAAAAAAUUAACAUCAUUAUAUGGAUAUGGACUAGUCUACUUCCAGGAGAGAUGCAUUUAAAACUUUAAGAGCAGUAACUAUGCAGACACCAAAGAGAAAUGGAGGUGUUGCCAACACUUGUCACUCUCAGGCUCCUCUGGUAUUUUCAGUCUAGGCCAAUAUAACAGAAAUUUUUCCAGAACAAAAGUGUCACCCCCAGCACUGCAUCCAAUGUUUGAAAACUAAGAGAGUCAGCAGCAUUUCCAGGCCAGUCCUUGCUGUUAUCUGUAACUGGGAUCUUUAAAUGGGAAGAAUAGGAAGUUCUUAACAUCCUUAUAAUUUUUUUCUUAAAUUAAUUAAGUUUAAUGCCCCUGAAAUGCAUUGCUGUAAGACUACAUCAGAAGUAUUUCAUAAUACACAGUAUUUUGCAAGCACCUGUAUAUGUUGUAUUUUAAGAACACUUCAAGUCCUUAAACUUUCUGUCCUCAACAGUUUAGGAGGUGGGGCUGGUUCAGUUUUUUUAAACACAUUAUAAAUAAUGUUUAAGAGUACUUUUUAUCCUCCUUUGUUUUUUGCUUUCUAAAUGUAACAGGCUCAUGUGACUGGAAGGUGUCAUACACAUGCUAAUGGAUCAAUCACUUUCCCAUAGAAGACUUCAAUUUAAAUGCAGGAAUUAAGUAAAAAGUUGGCUAGUGGUGCUUGUAAGAAAGUGAUCAAUUAGGAAAGCCAAGAGGGCCUCAUGUUAGGGAAGAAUAAAAAUCAAUUCAACUAUGAUACAUCCCUAAGUGCCGGAGUCACAAUUCCAAAACACGCAGUUGCCUAAGUUAUAAAAUAGGUUCUAUCAGUAGACUUACAGCUUCAUAAAAGAAGGCUGAAGACUUUUGAACAAAGUUGUCUGCUGGAGUGGGAAAUAGAAAAAGAGCUAAAAGAUAACCACAGAUAUUAAAACAAGCAAGUAAACAAACCAAUGAACCCAAACACAGAAUUGUUUCAUUAUGUUCCUGGGUUUGGAUAAAUCUAUCUUACAAAAAAGCCAGCAAAUUCCUUUUUGAACAUGUAUCUGCCAUGCUUUUGACAGGAUAAGCAAGAGGAGGUAAGGAAGGACAUAAAUUUCUUAGCCUAAAAUGUGAGAGUCAAUCGUAAGAAUUAAGGAUGCUGGGGCAUAAGGGCAUUGUUAUGGCAGCACAUUCUUUUUCUUCUCUUUUUCAAAGAAGUUGCAUAAAAUUUGCCACUGAAAAUAUUUUUUAUAAUGCUAUGAGUUCUCAGAAUAUGAAGACCAAAUGCAAAUUAAAACAGAAACCACACCAAAAUAAAAACCCUAAAAGGUUCUUUGGGAAAUUCUUCUUUUCACACUUCUUGAAGACUUAUUUCUAUGCUAAUAUUCCUCUAUUAACUAUAAAGAUUAUUUAUUAUUACCAAAAAUCAAUAGAAACUUGUGAAAAUUUUUGCUAUUACGUAAAAUGCCAAGCGGUCCCAAAUGUUUUUAAUCAUGAAAUUGAAUUGAAUCUCAAUAUAAAUUAGAGUAUCUGUGUCAGAAAGGAAAAAGCUAUUAGUUUAUGCAACUCUGCCUUAAUCCAGGAAACUUGGUAGUACUAGAACAUUGAUCUGUAGUUUAGCAUUGACAGUUAAAAAGGUGAGUGGUGUUCCUAUUUUAAAUGGUGCAUGUUUAAGAAGGAGAUAACCGAAAAAUGUGUGUGUGAAACUUGAAAUAGUCCUUCGCUUCCACUACAGUGCGGAACAAGAACAAGUCUCCUACUUCCCUAGUAGGAAAUGUUAUAGAUACUAAUUAUAUUGUUGGCUUUUCUCAAAUAUUAAAAUGAAUGUUAUAUGUAUAAGGUUAGAAAACUUGUUAUAUUAAUCUAGUUCCUUCUAUUUCUGUUACUGAUGAAACUUAGAAAUAGUAGUAUAAUAUACAUAUAUGUUGAGCUAUGGCAUAGUAUUAAAACAAAAACUACUUUUGUUUGUAUAACUAAAAAACUGAAAAAGAUAGCUGGAGACCCCCCUGCAUUCGUAAACUAUCUUAUCCAGAUGAAGACAGCAGUGACCAGAGCUCUGGGGGAGGAAUUUAUUGCAUUUCUGGUAUCAGGGAAUGUAAAUCUCGAUGGCACCUAGAAGACUGAUCUAUUGGGAAGGGGGCAAGAGAAAACUAAACAGAAGAACACCAAAGAUCCUAAGAAGAAUGUAUGAACAUGUAUGAGAAUUUAUGGAUAUGUAUUAAGGUUCUGUUUUUAAGGGACAAUCCUUUGUUAAUAAAGUGUACUCUCUUGGCUGAAUGCAGAGACA